AUGGGGGAAGCUGAUGGAGCAACGCCGCGUGCAGGAUGAAGGCCUUCGGGUUGUAAACUGCUUUUAUCUGUGACGAUUUUGACGGUGCAGAUGAAUAAGGAUCGGCUAACUCCGUGCCAGCAGCCGCGGU
RNAcentral lists this ribosomal RNA (130 nucleotides) under uncultured bacterium. RNAcentral describes it as "partial 16S ribosomal RNA". It matches the Rfam family "Bacterial small subunit ribosomal RNA", at positions 371 to 521 of the family's 1533-position model. The record is from RNAcentral.